UGGGGAAUAUUGGACAAUGGGCGAAAGCCUGAUCCAGCCAUGCCGCGUGUGUGAAGAAGGUCUUCGGAUUGUAAAGCACUUUAAGUUGGGAGGAAGGGCAGUAAGCGAAUACCUUGCUGUUUUGACGUUACCGACAGAAUAAGCACCGGCUAACUCUGUUCCAGCAGCCGCGGUAAUACAGAGGGUGCAAGCGUUAAUCGGAAUUACUGGGCGUAAAGCGCGCGUAGGUGGUUCGUUAAGUUGAAUGUGAAAGCCCCGGGCUCAACCUGGGAACUGCAUCCAAAACUGGCGAGCUAGAGUAGGGCAGAGGGUGGUGGAAUUUCCUGUGUAGCGGUGAAAUGCGUAGAUAUAGGAAGGAACACCAGUGGCGAAGGCGACCACCUGGGCUCAUAAUGACACUGAGGUGCGAAAGCGUGGGGAGCAAACAGG
This 429-nucleotide ribosomal RNA is filed under the name Pseudomonadota bacterium. RNAcentral describes it as "Proteobacteria bacterium partial 16S ribosomal RNA". It matches the Rfam family "Bacterial small subunit ribosomal RNA", at positions 355 to 776 of the family's 1533-position model. The record is from RNAcentral. Lineage: Bacteria; Pseudomonadati; Pseudomonadota.